This 930-nucleotide ribosomal RNA is filed under the name Zhihengliuella sp. RNAcentral's name for it is "bacterial SSU rRNA". It matches the Rfam family "Bacterial small subunit ribosomal RNA", at positions 59 to 997 of the family's 1533-position model. The record is from RNAcentral. Lineage: Bacteria; Bacillati; Actinomycetota; Actinomycetes; Micrococcales; Micrococcaceae.
CAGUCGAACGAUGAAGCCCAGCUUGCUGGGUGGAUUAGUGGCGAACGGGUGAGUAACACGUGAGUAACCUGCCCUUGACUCUGGGAUAAGCCCGGGAAACUGGGUCUAAUACUGGAUAUUCAGCUUCCAUCGCAUGGUGGUGGUUGGAAAGGGAUUGACUGGUCAAGGAUGGACUCGCGGCCUAUCAGCUUGUUGGUGGGGUAAUGGCCUACCAAGGCGACGACGGGUAGCCGGCCUGAGAGGGUGACCGGCCACACUGGGACUGAGACACGGCCCAGACUCCUACGGGAGGCAGCAGUGGGGAAUAUUGCACAAUGGGCGGAAGCCUGAUGCAGCGACGCCGCGUGAGGGAUGACGGCCUUCGGGUUGUAAACCUCUUUCAGUAGGGAAGAAGCGAGAGUGACGGUACCUGCAGAAGAAGCGCCGGCUAACUACGUGCCAGCAGCCGCGGUAAUACGUAGGGCGCAAGCGUUAUCCGGAAUUAUUGGGCGUAAAGAGCUCGUAGGCGGUUUGUCGCGUCUGCCGUGAAAGUCCGGGGCUCAACCCCGGAUCUGCGGUGGGUACGGGCAGACUAGAGUGCUGUAGGGGAGACUGGAAUUCCUGGUGUAGCGGUGAAAUGCGCAGAUAUCAGGAGGAACACCGAUGGCGAAGGCAGGUCUCUGGGCAGUAACUGACGCUGAGGAGCGAAAGCAUGGGGAGCGAACAGGAUUAGAUACCCUGGUAGUCCAUGCCGUAAACGUUGGGCACUAGAUGUGGGGGACAUUCCACGUUCUCCGCGUCGUAGCUAACGCAUUAAGUGCCCCGCCUGGGGAGUACGGCCGCAAGGCUAAAACUCAAAGGAAUUGACGGGGGCCCGCACAAGCGGCGGAGCAUGCGGAUUAAUUCGAUGCAACGCGAAGAAACUUACCAAGGCUUGACAUGGACCGGACC